Molecule: ribosomal RNA, 479 nt
Filed under: uncultured ammonia-oxidizing bacterium
Lineage: Bacteria
Description: bacterial SSU rRNA
Rfam family: Bacterial small subunit ribosomal RNA
Source: RNAcentral
GCUAAUACCGCAUAAUCUCUGAGGAGAAAAGCAGGGGAUCGCAAGACCUUGCGCUUUUGGAGCGGCCGAUGUCUGAUUAGCUAGUUGGUGAGGUAAAGGCUUACCAAGGCUUCGAUCAGUAGCUGGUCUGAGAGGACGACCAGCCACACUGGGACUGAGACACGGCCCAGACUCCUACGGGAGGCAGCAGUGGGGAAUUUUGGACAAUGGGGGAAACCCUGAUCCAGCCAUGCCGCGUGAGUGAAGAAGGCCUUCGGGUUGUAAAGCUCUUUCAGCCGGAAAGAAAUGGUUACGGUUAAUACCCGUGACUAAUGACGGUACCGGAAGAAGAAGCACCGGCUAACUACGUGCCAGCAGCCGCGGUAAUACGUAGGGUGCAAGCGUUAAUCGGAAUUACUGGGCGUAAAGCGUGCGCAGGCGGUUUUGUAAGUCAGAUGUGAAAUCCCCGGGCUCAACCUGGGAACUGCGUUUGAAACUAC